CUAACAAGGAUUCCCUUUAGUAACUGCGAGUGAAGAGGGAAAAGCUCAAAUUUAAAAUCUGGCAGUGUUUCACUGUCCGAGUUGUAACCUAGAGAAGUGUAACCUGCGCUGGACCGUGUAUAAGUCUCCUGGAAUGGAGCAUCACAGAGGGUGAGAAUCCCGUCUUUGACAUGGACUACCAGUGCAUUGUGGUUGCGCUCUCAACGAGUCGAGUUGUUUGGGAAUGCAGCUCUAAAUGGGUGGUAAAUUCCAUCUAAAGCUAAAUAUUGGCGAGAGACCGAUAGCGAACAAGUACCGUGAGGGAAAGAUGAAAAGAACUUUGGAAAGAGAGUUAAACAGUAUGUGAAAUUGUUGAAAGGGAAACGUUUGAAGUCAGUCGCGUUGGUUGGGGAUCAGCCUGACAUUGUUGGGUGUACUUCCUGGUCGACGGGCCAACAUCAGUUUUGACUGCCAGAAAAAGAUCAAAGGAAUGUGGCACCUUUGGGUGUGUUAUAGCCCUUGGUCGUAUAUGGUGGUUGGGACUGAGGAAAGCAGCGUGCCAAAAGGCCGGGUUUCGACCACGUUCACGCUGAGGAUGUUGGCAUAAUGGCUUUAAGCGACCCGUCUUGAAACACGGACCAAGGAGUCUAACAUGCAUGCGAGUGUUUGGGUGGAAAACCCUUACGCGUAAUGAAAGUGAAAGUUGAGAUCCCUGUCGCGGGGAGCAUCGACGCCCGGACCAGAACUUUUGGGACGGAUCCGCGGUAGAGCACGUAUGUUGGGACCCGAAAGAUGGUGAACUAUGCCUGAAUAGGGUGAAGCCAGAGGAAACUCUGGUGGAGGCUCGUAGCGAUUCUGACGUGCAAAUCGAUCGUCAAAUUUGGGUAUA
This 868-nucleotide ribosomal RNA is filed under the name Amanita citrinoannulata. Its description in RNAcentral is "eukaryotic LSU rRNA". It matches the Rfam family "Eukaryotic large subunit ribosomal RNA", at positions 65 to 919 of the family's 3401-position model. The record is from RNAcentral. Lineage: Eukaryota; Fungi; Basidiomycota; Agaricomycetes; Agaricales; Amanitaceae.